This 63-nucleotide transfer RNA is filed under the name Cassida rubiginosa. RNAcentral's name for it is "tRNA-His". The record is from RNAcentral. Lineage: Eukaryota; Metazoa; Arthropoda; Insecta; Coleoptera; Chrysomelidae.
GUUUAUAUAGUUUAGUUUAAAAUUUUGGUUUGUGGUUCCAAAGAUAUAUUUUUAUUAUAAACA